GCUGUGUGUUCAGUGGUGGUGCUCAGGUCACUGUUCACUCAGACCUUGCGUUCAACAGCUGGUUUAUUUUACAGGUUUUAUAUUUACAAUCACAUGUCUCCAGAUGUCUUUGACUUAUAAACAAAUCUUACCCACAAAACAAACCCACACAACCAAAGUGACUAAUAAUGAACUAAAACACAAAAUCAAAACAUUCAUUAACUUUUAUACACGGUAUUAUGACAGAUAUUAUGUUCUGUAGACACUAUAGGCGUGUACAACCCUGAGACUCUGUUGACCAAAGAAAGUGAUCCACAAAUUUUCCGCAGGGUUGUACAGCAGUUGGAGUGUGACUGAAGCAUCCUAUUUGUGUGACUUCCCAAUGUAGCACAAGUACACUUUAUAUGUCACACUUAAUGUUUUCUGUCAGAUGGUUUAUAGAUCUUGACAUUUCCGACUGAACUUGAAGGCGGCUUUAUUUCCCGGAGAAAGAAAAGAGA
Molecule: long non-coding RNA, 479 nt
Organism: Etheostoma spectabile (orangethroat darter)
Lineage: Eukaryota; Metazoa; Chordata; Actinopteri; Perciformes; Percidae
Exons: 2
Source: RefSeq, a predicted model, not a curated record